This 747-nucleotide long non-coding RNA is filed under the name Olea europaea subsp. europaea. The record is from RNAcentral. Lineage: Eukaryota; Viridiplantae; Streptophyta; Magnoliopsida; Lamiales; Oleaceae.
CAGGAUCCCUUCUAUACAAAACUAAGCCAAACACAGUGAGUCCACCAAUUGGUUCAACGAGAUGGAGUGUGGUUUAAAAAUGACAAGGUUUACUUGAGCCCAACUUCAAACUUGAUUCAGAAAAUAAUUUUCGAUUGCCACUCAACACCUACGAGAGGACACUUUGGGUUCCAUAAGACUCUCUCCCGUAUUAAACUCAGCUUCUUGUGGCCUAAUAUGUGCAGGACAGUCAAGGAAUUUCUACAGCAAUGCACUAUUUGUCAACAGUACAAAACAAAUUGUAUGAAGCCGACUGGGCUAUUACAACCCUUACCAAUUCCGACUCAAAUAUGGACUGAUGUCUCAAUGGAUUUUAUUGAAGGAUUACCGCCAUUAAAUGGACAUACUGUCAUCAUGGUAGUCGUUGAUCGCUUAACAAAGUAUGCCCACUUUGUAGCCUUGAAACAUCUAUUUAUCGCAAUCAUUGUUGCCAAAGCAUUUGUAGCCAAUAUAGUUCGUCUCCAUGGCAUUCCCACAUCCAUUGUCAGUGAUCGAGAUAAGGUGUUUAUCAGCUCCUUUUGGCAAGCAUUAUUCCAAUUACAAGGAACCAAGCUUUGCAUGAGCUUAAGCUACCAUCCUUAAUCUGAUGGCCAAACGGAGGUAGUAAACCGUACCUUGGAGCAAUAUUUACGAUGUUUUGCAGGCGAUCGACCACGGAAAUGGCUGGAAUGGAUUCCUUAGGCUGAGUUUAGCUAUAACACAUCUAUC